RNAcentral lists this transfer RNA (73 nucleotides) under Dictyocaulus viviparus (bovine lungworm). It matches the Rfam family "tRNA". From Rfam's summary of the family: Transfer RNA (tRNA) molecules are approximately 80 nucleotides in length. The record is from Rfam by way of RNAcentral. Lineage: Eukaryota; Metazoa; Nematoda; Chromadorea; Rhabditida; Metastrongylidae.
UCCUAAGUAGUGUAGUGGAUCAGUACGGCAGACCGGAUAUCUGUAGGUGCGGGUUCGAGUCCCGCCUGAGGUU